RNAcentral lists this ribosomal RNA (484 nucleotides) under uncultured bacterium. Its description in RNAcentral is "partial 16S ribosomal RNA". It matches the Rfam family "Bacterial small subunit ribosomal RNA", at positions 30 to 507 of the family's 1533-position model. The record is from RNAcentral.
AUUGAACGCUGGCGGCAGGCCUAACACAUGCCAGUCGAGCGGAUGAAGGGAGCUUGCUCCUGGAUUCAGCGGCGGACGGGUGAGUAAUGCCUAGGAAUCUGCCUGGUAGUGGGGGAUAACGUCCGGAAACGGGCGCUAAUACCGCAUACGACCUGAGGGUGAAAGUGGGGGAUCUUCGGACCUCACGCUAUCAGAUGAGCCUAGGUCGGAUUAGCUAGUUGGUGGGGUAAAGGCCUACCAAGGCGACGAUCCGUAACUGGUCUGCGAGGAUGAUCAGUCACACUGGAACUGAGACACGGUCCAGACUCCUACGGGAGGCAGCAGUGGGGAAUAUUGGACAAUGGGCGAAAGCCUGAUCCAGCCAUGCCGCGUGUGUGAAGAAGGUCUUCGGAUUGUAAAGCACUUUAAGUUGGGAGGAAGGGCAGUAAGUUAAUACCUUGCUGUUUUGACGGUACCAACAGAAUAAGCACCGGCUAACUUCGUG